UACGUAGGUGGCAAGCGUUGUCCGGAUUUACUGGGCGUAAAGAGCGCGCAGGCGGUCGUUCAAGUCGCGUGUGAAAGCCCCCGGCUCAACUGGGGAGGGUCACGCGAUACUGAUCGACUCGAAGGCAGGAGAGGGAAGUGGAAUUCCCGGUGUAGUGGUGAAAUGCGUAGAUAUCGGGAGGAACACCAGUGGCGAAGGCGACUUCCUGGCCUGUUCUUGACGCUAAGGCGCGAAAGCUAGGGGAGCAAACGGG
Molecule: ribosomal RNA, 253 nt
Filed under: uncultured bacterium
Lineage: Bacteria
Description: partial 16S ribosomal RNA
Rfam family: Bacterial small subunit ribosomal RNA
Source: RNAcentral